GACGAACGCUGGCGGCGUGCUUAACACAUGCAAGUCGAACGAUGAAGCCGGAGCUUGCUCUGGUGAAUUAGUGGCGAACGGGUGAGUAACACGUGAGUAACCUGCCCUUGACUCUGGGAUAACCGCGGGAAACUGUAGCUAAUACCGGAUACGACCCUCGGAGGCAUCUCCUGGGGGUGGAAAGAAUUUCGGUAAAGGAUGGACUCGCGGCCUAUCAGCUAGUUGAUGAGGUAAAGGCUAACCAAGGCGACGACGGGUAGCCGGCCUGAGAGGGUGACCGGCCACACUGGGACUGAGAGACGGACCAGACUCCUACGGGAGGCAGCAGUGGGGAAUAUAGCACAAUGGGCGCAAGCCUGAUGCAGCAACGCCGCGUGAGGGAUGACGGCCUUCGGGUUGUAAACCUCUUUUAGCAGGGAAGAAGCGAAAGUGACGGUACCUGCAGAAAAAGCACCGGCUAACUACGUGCCAGCAGCCGCCGUAA
RNAcentral lists this ribosomal RNA (484 nucleotides) under uncultured bacterium. RNAcentral describes it as "partial 16S ribosomal RNA". It matches the Rfam family "Bacterial small subunit ribosomal RNA", at positions 28 to 523 of the family's 1533-position model. The record is from RNAcentral.